AAGCGCUCUGAAGACCUGUUCACUAGGCUACAGACUGAGGACUCGGUUCCUCGCCAUCACUGCCCGCCUAGGGGAAAGUCCCCGGACCCCAGAGCAGCGAGUGCUCCCGCCUCAUCGGCGGUACAGCCCCCGUCACCGCAGCUCACGAUCACCGCCAAGACGCCGGGAGUUGGCCGAGCGUGUGAGCGCCGACUUGGGGGCCUCCGUCACAGCCGGUAGUUACGCAGGUAGUGUGGCUCCCUCCUCGGUGAGGGGGAGCGCACCAACAGCACGGGGCUCAUUCUCAGGGCGCU
Molecule: RNase MRP RNA, 293 nt
Filed under: Callorhinchus milii (elephant shark)
Lineage: Eukaryota; Metazoa; Chordata; Chondrichthyes; Chimaeriformes; Callorhinchidae
Description: RNase MRP (ENSCMIG00000014468.1)
Rfam family: RNase MRP
About the family: RNase MRP is an enzymatically active ribonucleoprotein with two distinct roles in eukaryotes. In mitochondria it plays a direct role in the initiation of mitochondrial DNA replication.
Source: Rfam by way of RNAcentral